CACAUGAAAAUUUGGCAAAUCUGACUGGUCACCGUCUGCCUGCCCAAAAGCCCUACAGACACACCAACUGGUGGGUCUAAGCUGGACUUCGGCUCCAUCUGUUCCAGCAGGAGGUCAAGGGAGUGAAAAGAGGUUGGUCCAGCUGCCCUGGGGAAAGAUGGGAGGCUGGAAGCCUGUACCCAAAUCUCAGGACAGCACCUGGAGCAGCCAUAGUGGACUCAGCUGGGUGGCACAUAACAAACCCAGGGGACCAGAACUGCAAUGUGCUGCUGGAACUGAUGGAGCUCUCCUUUAGUGUGUCCAUGGGGGCCAGUGCGCAGCUGUUCCAGGGUCAGGAUGCAGGACAAAAUGGACUGAAAGUGCUGUCAAGAGUGCCUCGAUGUUCUUUGCAAGCCUGGAUUCAUUAACUGGCCCAAGCCUGCCCACGAGAGACAGCACAACCCAGUCCUGACAUUUAUGUAUCUAAAUUCUCAAGGCUAGUCUAGCCCUGCCUAUGUGAUGCUUAGUAGUGAAUUAACAGGUUUAGUGUUACAUCACCCUUUGAAAC
Molecule: long non-coding RNA, 547 nt
Organism: Gavialis gangeticus (Gharial)
Lineage: Eukaryota; Metazoa; Chordata; Crocodylia; Gavialidae
Exons: 2
Source: RefSeq, a predicted model, not a curated record